GGCCGAAAGGCGUAGUCGAUGGGAACCAGGUUAAUAUUCCUGGGCCAGGAGAUGGUGACGGAUCCCGAAGGUAGUUCAUCCUUAUCGGAUUGAAUGGGCUGCUUAGGGGUUCCUGGAAAUAGCCCUCCAUGAGACCGUACCCUAAACCGACACAGGUGGACUGGUAGAGAAUACCAAGGCGCUUGAGAGAACCACAUUUAAGGAACUCGGCAAAAUACCUCCGUAAGUUCGCGAGAAGG
Molecule: ribosomal RNA, 239 nt
Filed under: Anophryoides haemophila
Lineage: Eukaryota; Ciliophora; Oligohymenophorea; Philasterida; Glauconematidae
Description: partial Bacterial large subunit ribosomal RNA
Rfam family: Bacterial large subunit ribosomal RNA
Source: RNAcentral